Etheostoma spectabile (orangethroat darter) is the source of this 2391-nucleotide long non-coding RNA. RefSeq lists it as uncharacterized. The record is from RefSeq and is a predicted model, not a curated record. The transcript is spliced from 2 exons. Lineage: Eukaryota; Metazoa; Chordata; Actinopteri; Perciformes; Percidae.
UCAGUGGAGAGGUUGGUAGACUUAAAAGAUCAGUGUAGAGACUGGUGGAGAGCAGAGAGAGGGAUGGAGAGGAGGAUACUGAUGUCCUGAAGGAUGCAGCGGAGACAGAGAGUAACAGAAAGGGGGAGGAGGACAGAUAGAAAGACAGACAAAAGCAAAGUGUGUGUAGAGAUAGAGAUGAGGGAGAAAUAAAAAGGCAGAUCACGCAUCUGGGGUUGUCCUGGGGUUUAACAGUCUGGAGGAAGCCUGCUGGACUCCUGUCAGACGUCAAACAGCAGAUGGACACUCCAUGAAAGGCGGCGUAAAGUCCUCCAGCAGCCAUCUGUUGCAGUCAAAAUGGACGCUGCAACAGACGGCCAUCUUGGUUUCAGCGUGGGAGCAGAAGGACUGUACAUGCUGGAAGGCAAAGAGGGAGAUGAGGAGGGCAAUGGCAGUUUAGCUUCUUCGACACAUGCACCGCCUCAACCUGAAAUGCGUCAGUUUUCAUCGAUUUACUGUUGAGACACGCUGACACACAAUAUUUGUGCUGAAAAUUAAAGAGAGAAGCCAUGCUAGCAGCUCUGUGAGGCUGUACUUACAGUGCAGUGCUACGAGCUAAUUGCUAACGUCACUGCGACGAUGCUAACGUGCUGAUGUAUCGCAAGUAUAUAAGUAUGCUAACAAUUUCUAGUUAAGAUUAAACAAGCUACUUCUUUACAGGUAGUAACAUCUUACCACUGCAGUUGAAUCCACAAAAUAUUCUUAAGUUGUUUUAAAUACCAUCAUUUACACCCAUGUUUCCCAACAUUUUUGGCAUGCGAGCUCUUAAAAUGCAAGAUAUUGGCAGAGCAUUUAUGGGUGAAGGUGCAAGUGUGAAAUAGACUGCGUACUGUAUUGUUAGUAACUCUUCCUCUACUUGCCUAUUCACAUUUAAGAUGGUUUCAGGUGCAAUAUUAUAAUUUGAGGGAUUUCUUUGUAUUAGAACUGGAUUCUGAGUCACAUCCCCACCUGCAUCAUAUCAGCAGUGGCCAACACUGACGACACAUCUGGCACCCAGGGAACCUGCUUGUUUGUCAUAUUCCCUUUGCAUGAAGUUGAUUUCCUCCCUACCAUUUCCCGUCUUGGCUGAAAUGUGGCAGCUGGGCAGCCAUUUUGGCUCCAACCGGAGCUGCAGAGCCACAGGGCGCGCAGCGGUUGCUCAGUAGUCAGUGUAGAUCCUGUGGGGCUGGCAGCAGCUACAUCUGGCUACUGGGUCUCCGCUGGCAACCAUGUUAUUCAGGAUGCACGAGAAUGACAGGAAGGCUAAUGUUUAGCAGCAAUUGAAGGUUUCUAAUGAACUCUGUGGAGUAUUUUCAAAUGCAUUUGCAAUUCUAACAAGUGAUUUCCAUGUGUAUUUCACACACGCUCCUUGUGAUCUUUUGUGCCAUGCAGCUUUUAAAUUUCAAAGAAAUGACUUGAAAGCCCACCCACUGUGAAGAGAAACAACAGUUUAUCCUAGAUGCAUGGGUAGUUUAGUGAACAGAAGAAAUGAUUAUGUAAAAAAUAUAAAAAUAACAUCUUGAGAUACUGGGUAAGUUCUGGACCUGGCAUUCAGUGUAGGAUUCUGUGUGUGUCAGUCUACAGCUACAUUGUCUGCUGGGUUUCAGGUCUGUACUCAUUCACAUCAAAGCCUAUGUUUCACAAAUGGUUUUAUUGUUCAGUUAUUUACUGUAAAAGGACAAUAUCAAAUGAUUAUAGUAUUGUGGCAUGUUUGAGGAAUCAAAACGCAUGGAUAAUUUGACAACUUUGUGUUUAUUGACUCAUCAUAAAACAUUCUUCAAACAAUAAAACAAUUUUAAAUGUCCGUUUCUGUACAAUGCUUGCUAAGCAAUUUUAUUUAUAUAUAGAAAAUGUAAGAGGAGUUGUGUUAAAAUGACAAAACUCCUUCAAAUUUAAUGGCAGGUACUCUGGAAAAAAUAACAGCAUUCCAUCAACAAAUAUUUUCAAGCAAUAAAUAUGUAUUUAUAAAUAGUGUAAAUUUACAUCAAGAUUAGAAACAAAACGAAAAUCACAAAUUAAACUUUAUUUCAUAAGUCUAUGUGCAACCCAUUCUCUUUGUGACUUGGCUAGUAAGUUUUUUUUUCCUAAAUUUUUCCUUUUUUUACCUAAGAAAGUUUUGAAAAGAACAAGACAAAGAUAAAACAUAAAAGCUGUAAAAAAAAAAAAAAAAGAAAAGAAAGAAAUAAAAAGAAAAGGAAAAAUCACCUUAACUCUUCACAUUACAAUUUUUUUUUGGGGAGAUUUUGCUGUUCAAAGAGUCUUCAAAUGACUAUCUACCAUAGAAAAGACCAGUUAGGCUAGUGCUCCUUGGAAGGAAAACUGAAGAACAUUUGGGAAAAUUCUAUAAAUCAAAGCCAACAUUUUAUCCUGUUA